UUUUAUUGCGUCGUGUUUCAUUACUCGUAUAAAAGCACAUAAAAUUUUUGAGAGAUAGGUGUUUGCUUAUUUCGCUCAAUGCUCUUUACUGCCAUUUUCCCAGUAUCUGGUAGAAUGUUGAAUAGUGGAGAGAGUAGAAAUAUUUUCCUUGUUUUCUGUCUUUGGGUAACAGCUUUCAAUGCUUCACACUUACGUAUAAAAUUACCCUUAGCUUUCUCAUAGAUAGCCUUCAUCCACUCAAGGACUUUUUCUUCUAUUAUUAGUUUAAUGAGAAUUGUUUUCAUGCAUAGAUGUUGAAUUAUUUCAAAUACUUUUACUGUUUCUGUUGAAAGGAUCAUAUGGCUUUUCUGCCUUAUUCUACUCAUAUGAAAGUGACGUUGACUGGUUUUCAAUUGAUGGACGAACCUUGUAUGGCUGGAAUAAGCCCCACCUGGUCAUGAUGUAUUAUUCUCUGCACAAAUUGCUGGAUUCAUUUGCUAUGUUGUUAAAGAUUUUGUGUGUAUGUUCAUGAGGGAUAUUGAGCUUAAAAAGAACCUGGAAUGGUGAAUCUGCUUUGAUGUUUCUAUCCAUGAAGAAUAUCUGAUGGAGUAUAAUAUUUCUGCCUUGAGAUUUUGCAGCAUCUCCCAGAUCUGUGUGGAAUUUGUUCAGAUUAAAGCUCCCGGCUGUCCUUCUUGGUCCUGCCUUGUGAGUUUCUCCUUGUGAAUGCACAGAACAAUGUGCCUCUCUUUGAUUGCGACCCUCUCAAUCCUUUCUAGAGGAAAUCAUUGGCUAUUGUGAUUAGCCCUGAGCUAACUACUGCCAGUCCUCCUCUUUUCUGCUGAGGAAGCCUGGCCCUGAGCUAGCAUCUGUGCCCACCUUCCUCUACUUUAUAUGUGGGACACCUACCACAGCAUGGCGUGCCAAGCGGUGCCAUGUCCUCACUUGGGAUCCGAACCUGCGAACCCUAGGCCGCCGAGAAGCGGAACGUGUUUAUUUGGAUUCCCAUUUUUAUUCGGGUUUCUAGUGGUUACUGUAGAAAUCCCAGCAUGCUCCUCUAAGUCUUCUGCGGCCCUGGGAAGUGGUCUGCAUCCGCCUCUGAGGCUCUCCUUUCACAGAUCAGACCUUCCUAAAUACAAAGAGUCAUUCUCAAGAAUGCGAACAAUGACUUUAUUUGUGAAAAUGAAUAACACUGAAAUCUUAUUUAUUGAUUCAGAAGAGGACUUAAGAUAUAUCAUUCUGGAUCCCUUAUAUUCAGAUCCUCAUUAGUGAAAACUGCCAAAAUUCAUCUAAUCAGUUUUCACAGCAACAUUUAAGAAAUACAAUAUGCUUAUAACUUUACAAAGAGAGGAAUUUCAGAAAGUACAAUUUUGAAUUCCAUCAUUACUACUGCAAUCAUAUUCUCAAGGUAUGAGGCAAAAUAAUGUGGAACUGCUAGUUACAUGUAAGUAUAUUUGACAUUUUCAGCAGUCCUCCUCCAAAAGAAAAGAAAAAGAGAGAAUGA
Molecule: long non-coding RNA, 1480 nt
Filed under: Equus asinus (donkey)
Lineage: Eukaryota; Metazoa; Chordata; Mammalia; Perissodactyla; Equidae
Description: lncRNA (ENSEASG00005038788.1)
Source: RNAcentral